CUCCAGUAUAUUGGCGAAUUCGGUUCUUUGUACUUAAUUUAUUAGCAUGAUUUAUUUUUUAAUAUGUUGUGUACAGACUUAAUUACUUCUCUGUCUACUUUUCUUACUCCAUGUAGGUUUCCCAGACACUAUGGGUUGAGGAGGAAUUGGAAGUUUGUCGGCUUAGACCUGGUGUCAUUCCAUCAGUGUUAAACUUCCCGGCUCAUCCUGGAAGAGUACGUGCCAGAAAGACCACGACCAAGCAGCCUUGAGAUCUUAGGCAGCGUCUCCCUGAGACCAAAGAAGUACAGACUCUUCACAACCUGCUCAAACUCUUCGUACAAGACCUCACCACACGGGUCAAGAAGGUUUCCAUCUCAUUUCUACUCUGAAGCUCACCUUCUCCUGCUCAAACUGCUGACAAAUGUUUCUGCUGCUCUAAAGUCUGGUCUCCAGAACUUCCUAAAAACUCUCAAAGUCUCUUCUGCUGCAGGUUGCUUUGUAGAACUGUUCCAGAAAACCUCACUAAACCACAUGGAGGGGCCUCAAGAUAGUCGUCCAAAUGAAACCAUACAAAAACCAAACUAGCACAACCUAAACGCUAAAGUCUCCUGCAGCCUACCAGAGAACCUCUGAGAACAGAGAAUCAGGACAGGAACUCUUACCUUCUGGACAACCAAGAAUACAGAAUGUGUCUGACCAAAAACCUCUAAAGACUCACUACAGCCAAGAUAAGACACAACUCAGCUGCACCAAAUCCACUAAUCACUGCACACAUUAGCACCAUGUGCCAACUGUGGCUAAAGAACCACAUUUACCAAGACAAUUAUCCAGUACAAAGCCCUAAAACACACCAAGAAACACAUUAAAGACGAUUUUACUGCUGGAAGCUGCAAGCCAACGCCUAAAGAACAAACU
Molecule: long non-coding RNA, 897 nt
Organism: Amphiprion ocellaris (clown anemonefish)
Lineage: Eukaryota; Metazoa; Chordata; Actinopteri; Pomacentridae
Source: Ensembl